Molecule: long non-coding RNA, 298 nt
Organism: Mauremys reevesii (Reeves's turtle)
Lineage: Eukaryota; Metazoa; Chordata; Testudines; Geoemydidae
Exons: 3
Source: RefSeq, a predicted model, not a curated record
AAAACAUGGUCACCAGCAGAGCGACCUUCCCUUCACCUCCCAGCUAAUGAGAUACUAACACUAACGUCUACUGCUGGACGUACAUUUGCAAGUGCUCAAAAUCCUAUGGAUUUAUACUUUGUUCCUGCAAGAUUUCCAACCCAGUUUUGCAGAACCAAGCCAUCUGGAGAAGCGUAUUUAUGAACAGAGCAACAUGGAGAUGCAGCUGCUGGAGCCCUUUGUUCUGCUUAAGUACAAGACACCAAGAAAGACAGACUAUAUAUAACCAUACAACUGUGUUGCAUUAAAGGUACUGAGG